CCUACGGGAGGCAGCAGUGAGGAAUAUUGGUCAAUGGGCGCGAGCCUGAACCAGCCAAGUAGCGUGAAGGAUGACUGCCCUACGGGUUGUAAACUUCUUUUAUAAAGGAAUAAAGUGAGGCACGUGUGCCUUUUUGUAUGUACUUUAUGAAUAAGGAUCGGCUAACUCCGUGCCAGCAGCCGCGGUAAUACAGAGGAUCCGAGCGUUAUCCGGAUUUAUUGGGUUUAAAGGGCGCGUAGAUGGGUUGUUAAGUCAGUUGUGAAAGUUUGCGGCUCAACCGUAAAAUUGCAAUUGAUACUGGCAGCCUAGAGUACAGUUGGGGUAGGCGGAAUUCGUGGUGUAGCGGUGAAAUGCUUAGAUAUCACGAAGAACUCCGAUGGCGAAGGCAGCCUACUAAACAUCCACUGACAUUGAUGCUCGAAAGUGUGGGGAUCAAACGGGAUUAGAUACCCCUGUAGUC
RNAcentral lists this ribosomal RNA (460 nucleotides) under uncultured bacterium. RNAcentral's name for it is "partial 16S ribosomal RNA". It matches the Rfam family "Bacterial small subunit ribosomal RNA", at positions 338 to 795 of the family's 1533-position model. The record is from RNAcentral.